GAUGAACGCUGGCGGCGUGCUUAACACAUGCAAGUCGAACGAACCUUCGGGUUAGUGGCGGACGGGUGAGUAACGCGUGAGAAUCUGCCCUCAGGAGGGGGAUAACAGCUGGAAACGGCUGCUAAUACCCCAUAUGCCGCGAGGUGAAAUGAAUUUCGCCUGAGGAUGAGCUCGCGUCUGAUUAGCUAGUUGGUGUGGGUAAUGGCUCACCAAGGCAUCGAUCAGUAGCUGGUCUGAGAGGAUGAUCAGCCACACUGGGACUGAGACACGGCCCAGACUCCUACGGGAGGCAGCAGUGGGGAAUUUUCCGCAAUGGGCGAAAGCCUGACGGAGCAACGCCGCGUGAGGGAUGAAGGCCUCUGGGCUGUAAACCUCUUUUAUCAAGGAAGAAGAUCUGACGGUACUUGAUGAAUAAGCCACGGCUAAUUCCGUGCCAGCAGCCGCGGUAAUACGGGAGUGGCAAGCGUUAUCCGGAAUUAUUGGGCGUAAAGCGUCCGCAGGCGGCCCUUCAAGUCUGCUGUUAAAAAGUGGAGCUUAACUCCAUCAUGGCAGUGGAAACUGAGGGGCUUGAGUGUGGUAGGGGCAGAGGGAAUUCCCGGUGUAGCGGUGAAAUGCGUAGAUAUCGGGAAGAACACCAGUGGCGAAGGCGCUCUGCUGGGCCAUCACUGACGCUCAUGGACGAAAGCCAGGGGAGCGAAAGGGAUUAGAUACCCCUGUAGUCCUGGCCGUAAACGAUGAACACUAGGUGUCGGGGGAAUCGACCCCCUCGGUGUCGUAGCCAACGCGUUAAGUGUUCCGCCUGGGGAGUACGCACGCAAGUGUGAAACUCAAAGGAAUUGACGGGGGCCCGCACAAGCGGUGGAGUAUGUGGUUUAAUUCGAUGCAACGCGAAGAACCUUACCAGGGUUUGACAUCCUGCGAAUCUCUUGGAAACGAGAGAGUGCCUUCGGGAACGCAGUGACAGGUGGUGCAUGGCUGUCGUCAGCUCGUGUCGUGAGAUGUUGGGUUAAGUCCCGCAACGAGCGCAACCCACGUCUUUAGUUGCCAGCAUUUAGUUGGGCACUCUAGAGAGACCGCCGGUGAUAAACCGGAGGAAGGUGUGGAUGACGUCAAGUCAUCAUGCCCCUUACAUCCUGGGCUACACACGUACUACAAUGCUACGGACAAAGGGCAGCAAGUUCGCGAGGACAAGCAAAUCCCAUAAACCGUGGCUCAGUUCAGAUCGUAGGCUGCAACUCGCCUACGUGAAGGAGGAAUCGCUAGUAAUCGCAGGUCAGCAUACUGCGGUGAAUACGUUCCCGGGCCUUGUACACACCGCCCGUCACACCAUGGAAGUUGGCCACGCCCGAAGCCGUUACUCCAACCCUUGUGGAGGAGGACGUCGAAGGUGGGGCUGAUGACUGGGGUGAAGUCGUAACAAGGUAUCCGUACCGGAAGGUGCGGAUGGAUCACCUCCUAACAGGGAGACAAAACAAUGAUUUUGAUGUCUGAGUAUUUUAUUCUUAGGCCGAAAUCCUGUCACCUUAGGUCGAUCGGUACCUCAACAUUAUUUCAAAGAUUGAUGAGCAAUCAUCGAGAGAUUGAAAGAGAUGUUCAGUUCCUAAACUUUGUCUAGGUCACACCCCGCAAGGGAAGAGUCCCCUGGGCCAUUAGCUCAGGUGGUUAGAGCGCACCCCUGAUAAGGGUGAGGUCCCUGGUUCAAGUCCAGGAUGGCCCAUUCGGUGUUGGGGGUUUAGCUCAGUUGGUAGAGCGCCUGCUUUGCAAGCAGGAUGUCAGGAGUUCGGGUCUCCUAACCUCCACUGACCGAACUCAAUCUCCAUUGUCCGGUAACUCGGAGGAUGAACUCGAAGGAGUGUGAUUUAGAUGUGUCCACUAGAUUGGACCCCAGCUUCCUGUCAUUCCAGAUCAGUAAAAAUUACUUGAUCGGUUGAUAAGAUGCUGGGCUCAGAUUAAUCGCAAGAUUAAUUUGAUGUCUAGUAGAACCUUGACAACUGCAUAGGUAAGUCUGGAAAAACAAAGCAUCUUACAGAUGCAUUGUUUUCAGUUUAAAUUCUCGAAAGGGAAUUUAAAUUUAGAACAAUGAAAAUUCUUUUGAGCAAGAGCCGAGACUCUUAAAUGUUCUUUGAUUCGUGUCGAGCGAAUCAGAGUUUGAUUUUGUUUUUAUGAGCAACGAAAGUUGUUGAUGAAACCAGAAGAAUCUGCUUUCAACCGCAGUAAGCGUUUAAGAGGUUAAUUGGUCAAGCUACAAAGGGCUCACGGCGGAUACCUUGGCACACAGAGGCGAUGAAGGACGUGGUUACCUGCGAUAAGUCUCGGGGAGCUGGAAGCACGCUUUGAUCCGGGAAUUU
RNAcentral lists this ribosomal RNA (2348 nucleotides) under uncultured marine bacterium. RNAcentral's name for it is "bacterial SSU rRNA". The stretch from base 1 to 1459 matches the Rfam family "Bacterial small subunit ribosomal RNA". The record is from RNAcentral.